Molecule: small nucleolar RNA, 131 nt
Organism: Lupinus angustifolius (narrow-leaved blue lupine)
Lineage: Eukaryota; Viridiplantae; Streptophyta; Magnoliopsida; Fabales; Fabaceae
Rfam family: Small nucleolar RNA snoR74
Source: Rfam
AAAAAAGCAGGGUUGUGUUGCCUAUGUGAACAUGCCUCUUACAUAACCUUCAGGGAUAUAAUAACCAUUGUUUUUGGGUGAACCUGUGCUCUUGUUUUGUGACUUAAGGUUCAGUAAAUGAUGGAACAUAU